Molecule: long non-coding RNA, 929 nt
Filed under: Cricetulus griseus (Chinese hamster)
Lineage: Eukaryota; Metazoa; Chordata; Mammalia; Rodentia; Cricetidae
Description: lncRNA (ENSCGRG00015020432.2)
Source: RNAcentral
CCUCUUUAUUCCUUCUGGCCCUCAGGAUCAUUUCCUGGAGUGAGUCAGGGACUGAGACGUGCAAGAUAAUGAACUGGGUAUUUCUUCCUACACCUUUAGACAUAUAUGCAGGCAGAACACUGUAUAUAAUAAAUAAAAACAUGAAGAAGGAGGAAGGAAGGAGGAGGAAGAAGGAAGAAGAAGGAAGAAGAAGAAGAAGAAAGAACAACUCCCUUCUGUUACCACCAGGAACACACUCCACUCCUGGGCAACUGUCAAAUGGGAAUCAAGGACCUAUGGUGAACCUUGGGCAAUUAUGGACAGACGGAUGGAGCCAGCCCGGGCCACAGAAGAACCUAAAGCAGACACAGCACAGCUGACUCCUUCACCCUCCUCUAGACCUCAUGGAAGCAUGGAGUGCACAGUGCCUGUACGAUGGGUUACUAUUUUGUAAUUCCCAUCUUUGCUUCAUUACCUCAUGUCUGCUGCUUUGACCAUAAACACAGACCAAAUGCCAAGACACAGACUACUGUCACCAGGAAACCCAACUGCUUGUACCAGACUCACCUUUAGGCUUUUGGACUGUUUGCUGUGUUGACUUAAAGAUGGCAGGGGACAAAAACAACACAUGGCACUGUGCUCAUGGAUUCCUCUUUGGUGAGGUCUUAAAACCCAGGGAACAGGGGCCUGGAGAGAUGGCUCAGAGGUUAAAAGCACUGACUGCUCUACCAGAGAUCCUGAGUUCAAUUCCCAACAACCACACGGUGGCUCACAACCAUCUAUAAUGAGAUCUGGUGCCCUCUCCCGGCCCACAGGCAAACAUGCAGGCAGAACAUUGUAUACAUAAUAUAUAAAAUCUUAAAAAAAAAAAAAAAACAGGAACCCAGGGCCAACCUGUCUCCCUUAUUACAGCUAACUGGCAUGAUCAUCCACUCCCAAUCCCACCCCCA